RNAcentral lists this ribosomal RNA (274 nucleotides) under uncultured bacterium. RNAcentral's name for it is "partial 16S ribosomal RNA". It matches the Rfam family "Bacterial small subunit ribosomal RNA", at positions 523 to 796 of the family's 1533-position model. The record is from RNAcentral.
AUACGGAGGGUGCAAGCGUUGUUCGGAAUUACUGGGCGUAAAGCGCGCGUAGGCGGUUUGUUAUGUCAGAUGUGAAAGUCCACGGCUCAACCGUGGAAGUGCAUUUGAAACUGGCAAACUCGAGUACUGGAGGGGGUGGUGGAAUUCCCGGUGUAGAGGUGAAAUUCGUAGAUAUCGGGAGGAAUACCGGUGGCGAAGGCGACCACCUGGCCAGAUACUGACGCUGAGGUGCGAAAGCGUGGGGAGCAAACAGGAUUAGAAACCCCAGUAGUCC